GGAUUGCCCUAGUAACGGCGAGUGAAGCGGCAACAGCUCAAAUUUGAAAGCUGGCCUUCGGGUCCGCAUUGUAAUUUGUAGAGGAUGCUUUGGGGCAGCCGCCUGUCUAAGUUCCUUGGAACAGGACGUCAUAGAGGGUGAGAAUCCCGUAUGUGACAGGACAUGGCACCCUAUGUAAAGCUCCUUCGACGAGUCGAGUUGUUUGGGAAUGCAGCUCUAAAUGGGAGGUAAAUUUCUUCUAAAGCUAAAUAUUGGCGAGAGACCGAUAGCGCACAAGUAGAGUGAUCGAAAGAUGAAAAGCACUUUGGAAAGAGAGUUAAAAAGCACGUGAAAUUGUUGAAAGGGAAGCGCUUGCAAUCAGACUUGUUUAAACUGUUCGGCCGGUCUUCUGACCGGUUUACUCAGUUUGGACAGGCCAGCAUCAGUUUCGGCGGCCGGAUAAAGGCUCUGGGAAUGUGGCCUCCACUUCGGUGGAGGUGUUAUAGCCCAGGGUGUAAUACGGCCAGCCGGGACUGAGGUCCGCGCUUCGGCUAGGAUGCUGGCGUAAUGGUUGUAAGCGACCCGUCUUGAA
This 571-nucleotide ribosomal RNA is filed under the name Aureobasidium pullulans. RNAcentral's name for it is "partial large subunit ribosomal RNA". It matches the Rfam family "Eukaryotic large subunit ribosomal RNA", at positions 72 to 658 of the family's 3401-position model. The record is from RNAcentral. Lineage: Eukaryota; Fungi; Ascomycota; Dothideomycetes; Dothideales; Saccotheciaceae.